Long non-coding RNA from Cyprinus carpio carpio, 373 nucleotides. The record is from Ensembl. Lineage: Eukaryota; Metazoa; Chordata; Actinopteri; Cypriniformes; Cyprinidae.
CAGCUACGGCCCUGGAUACUGUUAAAGAAAUGCAAGAACCAUGGGAUGACCUAAAGCCGCGUAAAGCUUUAGUGACCUCCCUUGUGCCAUGGAUCAGACAUCUUGUUUUGAAAGCGAGACUGAGAAGAGAGAGAUGGAGACAGUGACAGAGAGAUGGAGCGAGGGACUUCUCUAUGUGUCAGACCUAACCUCUGCUAUGAUGAAAGGUGGGACUUCGCACUCAUACUGUGGACCUCCAUGACUUCCUGCAGAGAGUGCACCUGUCCUUCUCUCUCUGUCUUUCUGUCUCAUGACAGUCCAUCUGUGCUUUGUACCGAACAAUGCACUUUAGUUAUCUGCACAUAAGAAGCAUUAAGUGAGUUGCUUAGCUGGA